UACGUAGGGUGCAAGCGUUGUCCGGAAUCAUUGGGCGUAAAGAGCGUGUAGGCGGCUCGAUAAGUCCGCUGUAAAAGUCCAGGGCUCAACCCUGGGAUGCCGGUGGAAACUGUCGGGCUAGAGUCCGGGAGAGGCGAGUGGAAUUCCUGGUGUAGCGGUGAAAUGCGCAGAUAUCAGGAGGAACACCAAUGGCGAAGGCAGCUCGCUGGAACGGUACUGACGCUGAGACGCGAAAGCGUGGGGAGCAAACAG
This 252-nucleotide ribosomal RNA is filed under the name uncultured bacterium. RNAcentral describes it as "partial 16S ribosomal RNA". It matches the Rfam family "Bacterial small subunit ribosomal RNA", at positions 524 to 775 of the family's 1533-position model. The record is from RNAcentral.